AGAGUUUGAUCAUGGCUCAGAACGUACGCUGGCGGCACGCCUAACACAUGCAAGUCGAACGAAGUAGCAAUACUUAGUGGCAGACGGGUGAGUAACAUGUAGGUAUCUGCCCUUUGGCCUGGAAUAACACGAGGAAACUUGUGCUAAUACCGGAUAAGUCUUUACGGAGAAAGCUUUAUGCACCAUUGGAUGAGCCUGCACUUGAUUAGUUUGUUGGUGGGGUAAUGGCCUACCAAGACUGUGAUCAAUAGCUGAUUNGAGAGGAUGAUCAGCCACAUNGGNNCUGANACACGGCCCAAACUCCUACGGGAGGCAGCAGCUGGGGAAUCUUGCACAA
Molecule: ribosomal RNA, 337 nt
Filed under: uncultured bacterium
Lineage: Bacteria
Description: bacterial SSU rRNA
Rfam family: Bacterial small subunit ribosomal RNA
Source: RNAcentral